Gallus gallus (chicken) is the source of this 1030-nucleotide long non-coding RNA. RefSeq lists it as uncharacterized. The record is from RefSeq and is a predicted model, not a curated record. NCBI's taxonomy places the organism in Eukaryota, Metazoa, Chordata, Aves, Galliformes, Phasianidae. The transcript has 3 exons.
GGGCCUUGGGCACACCUGCCUGGCUGGUAAAAACCGAUCGUACUGGGGCUGCCGUUAAUCGUUGUGAAGAGGCUGCUGUCGCUGCAAGGAGUUCUGGAGAAAAGACCUCUACGAUCAGCUAGACCAGCCACCAACCCAUCACCACCUACUAACCGUGUUCCUCAGUGCCACAUCUACGCUUGAACACCUCCAGGGAUGGUGACUCCACCACCUCCCUGGGCAGCCCAUUCCAGUGCCUGCCUGACCAUUUUUUCGGGUAAAAGUCAGACACCCUUCUGCAGAACUGAAGCAACAAAUCAAGAAGCUGACUUUCUUCCUUGCCUUCAACUUUCACCUAAUUAGAAGAACGAAGACCACCCUUCUCACUCAGUACCCCAAGGCUCUACUCCAGCGGCACAAACCUGGCAUGCAGAGGUAAAACUACUUGUUCAUGAAACAGCAAAAAUAGCAAUGAGUAAAGAACUGAAAGCUAGGGAUUACCUGACCAAGAGUAUCUGUAUAUGAAUGACAACCCAGAAGACCCUGAGCAAAGCCAGAGCAGAAUGGAUGCUGUCUUCCUGAAGGGCCCCUUUCCAGUAUGAGUCACACGCAGAUUGACACUGUUUCUCAUCUCCCCAGAAUACAACUCAAAUGCAAAAUGCUAAAACUACAAUUCCAAACAGACAAACUUUUUGUGCCAGAAGCCCUAUAAAUGUCCACUACCAAUCCUUCUGUAGGGAAAGAGUCAGGAGCUCAUGAUGGAAGCAACAGCAGUAUUAGUGACAUUAUAAUUGCAAAAGAAGACCAAGCAGAGUGUCUUUUUGUUCUAAUUGAUCUCUAUUCCUCAUCAAAGAAGUUCAAAAUAGUUCACUAUUUCAGCUCUGAUUCUACUUGAGGCAUAAGUAAUUAUGACACCAGGUACGCUGCUGACUGGACAGUCCCAGAGGUUGGAUACUGCUGCAAAUCUGCUUUUCGAACACCUCUUCCCAAAAUAACUGCAUCUUAACAAGAACUUAAGUGAGCUACUCUAAUACACACACACACACACACA